GUCAGGGACAGGAAGAUUUACUGACAGGAAACACUUUCCAGUAAGACUACGAACACUACAAGCGGACAAGCCCUGCAGUAAGCUUUCAGAACAGAAGAAAUUGAUUUAAAACCAGUCACUGAACGAGCCAAAAAUAAUUGCCCAAAAGGUUUGGGAUAAAGCCAGUGAAAGCACAGAGCAGAGCCUACAAGAAAUACAUUGUGCCUGAAAGGCCAUUCGCGGCACUAUUUGCAGCUUUAGGGCAAUGUAAGUUGGCCGUCCCUGUCCUGCACGCUAUUCAGAAGGAAACCAAAAAGGAGGUGAUUUUACCUCCCACGUGCAGGUCAAGAGGAGCUGAAGGAACUCCGGAUGUGGGGAGCUACCCUUGGCACUUUGCUCUCCCUGUCCUUUGGAGGCUGCGGUGGGGAGCGUCGCCACAGGAAGAAGAUUCGCGUUAUUGAGCUCACUCUCGCCGCCAUCAUUCAAGAAGUGCUAAGCGUCUACAGCAAGCCAGGUGUCCUGCUCUACCUGUCACCUGGCACCAACAGCCCUGGGGACAGAAAGAGGCACAUGGCCGUUUUGUGCUCCAGGACGCACCCUAUGAGGAAAGAAGUCUGCAUGUUUUCCAGCCUGUUUCUUUCUAGUGCUCUUGGCGGCAAAAAGAGAGAAUUGAAAGACCUAGAAAGCUAUAAUUAG
This 675-nucleotide long non-coding RNA is filed under the name Dasypus novemcinctus (nine-banded armadillo). RNAcentral's name for it is "lncRNA (ENSDNOG00000050990.1)". Lineage: Eukaryota; Metazoa; Chordata; Mammalia; Cingulata; Dasypodidae. The record is from RNAcentral.